RNAcentral lists this long non-coding RNA (4159 nucleotides) under Sus scrofa (pig). RNAcentral describes it as "lncRNA (ENSSSCG00055026274.1)". Lineage: Eukaryota; Metazoa; Chordata; Mammalia; Artiodactyla; Suidae. The record is from RNAcentral.
CCUUCCUUCCUUCCUUUUUUGUUUUUUUACCACCCUAAACCACAUGGAAUUCCUGGACUAGAGAUCAGAUUCCAGCCACAGUUAUGACUUAAGCUGCAGCUGCAGCAAUGCCAGGUCCUUAACUCACUGUGCCUGACUGGGGAUCAAACCUAUGUCCCAGCACUCCCAAGAUGCCGCUGAUCCCGUUUCAUCACAGCAGGAGCUCCUGGAUCUACUUUAAAUCCCACCUAAAAGGAUUCCAUAGGCAGGUGAUGGAACCCCAAUCGAAUGAGACUGGGUGAGAGCUGAUGAAAGGGCAGCCAGCUGGAGGAAAAGACAACACGUGUGUCUGGGAAGACAUAGGUCAAUGGUCCCAUAAGGUUCCCAGAAGAGCCCAUGGCAAAGUCUGCGAAGGAAGGAGUCAGCUCUACAAACCUCCCAGGCCCACCCAGUGAGGACCCCUCACAACAGGACUUGUCAAGGAAGGGCCUUCCUGCCUUUUCCUCUUCCCUGUCCGUGCACCCAGAAGAGCCAGAAACCUCAGUCACUGACGUGAUUGAGGAUGUGUGAAAGGAGAGCAAAAAGGAAACUCAUCCUCUCACCUGCAUCAGGUUCUAGUUUGGAGAGGGGGCAGAUUUAACUUUAAGGCAGGUUGGAUAUUAUUAUGUAGACUGGACACCUAGCAGCCAUUUUGAGACUGUGUGGUCAAAUUCUAGUGGUCCCAGGAUUUUACAUUAUUUAAGAGUGAUCAGAAAAGUCAUGGAGUUCCUGUGUGGCUCAGCGGAAACAAAUCCGACAAGCAUUCAUGAGAACGUAAGUACAAUCGCUGGUCUCUCUCAGUGGGUUAGGGAUGUGGCGUUGCUGUGAGCUGUGUUGUAGGUUGCAGAUUCGGCUCAGAUCUGACAUUGCUGUGGCUGUAGUAUAGGCCAGUGGCUACAGCUCCAGUACGACCCCUAGCCUGGGAACCUCCAUGUGCCACAGGUGCAGCCCUUAAAAAAAUAGACCAAACAAACAAACAAACAAACAAACAAAAAAGUCAUGGGACUACCUGAAUUUUCAACCAAGGGCAGUGGAAAAACUUCUGAAUUACUUUAAAAAGUUCAGUGAGAGAGAAAAAAAAAAUUGAUUGUAAUUACAUCCCAUGAGUUUCUUGUUCAAUUUACCAGCUGCACUUAACAAGUUAUUAUGUCCCCAAAUAACCAGAACCCACUUCAGUAUGCUGGGAUACAAAGGGCUCCAAAGACAGUCAAAGAAAAAGAGACUUCCUUCCAAUUUAUAAAAUCUCUUCCUUGUCCCCCUCCCCACUUCCCUAUAUUUCUAUAAAGUAUGGGCAGAUUGUGCGGUUGAAAGCUAUCCCUGGGAGAGAGGGAAAUACAUCGUAGAGGGGUUCUGGGGGACAGGAAAAGGAUGGAAGGAGGCAUUUUACUAGAAGGGGAGACAAAAGGGCAACCGCAGCUAAAGGAAGAUAGGGUAGGAAUCCCAGGCAGCUUGAUGGAGUGGAGAUAGUCCCCUGGGGUUAAGGCUCCUAUCCUGGAGUCCUGCCUGAACCACCACCAUUUUGGCAGCCUUGUUACUGUUACAUCAGCAACAGUGACGUGAGCUACCGAAGACUGACAACCAGAAGGCAGGCCAGGAAAGUCGGAGAUAGAAUGUUCUCUGCUUCCCUAGGACAUCCUCAUGCAAAUGUGCCAAAAUAAUAGAAUUCCUAAGAUAUUUCGUUGUUUACGUAGCAGCAAUGAAUGAAAAUAUUUGUGAUUAGGACUGUCCACCAAAAUUAAAAUUUAACAGGGCUUCAAAUAACCAUUCCUUCACAUGCAUGAAAAACGUUCCAUUUAUAAUUCCUCUCCAAGGAAGCUUAAACAAUGUUGUACUGUUCUAUACUUGCUACAACCACAACGCAUGCCCCAUACCAUGACACCCUUUUUAUUAAAAAAGAUUUUUUUAAUUUUAGUUGAUUUACAAUGUUCUGUCAAUUUCUGCUGUACAGCAAAGUGACCCAGUCAUACAUAUAUAUAUACACAUUCUUUUUCUCACAUUAUCCUCCAUCAUUUUCCAUCACAAGUGACUAGAUAUAGUUCCCUGUGCUGUACAGCAGGAUUUUAAAAUGCAGUGGUAUACGAUAGCUAAAAAGAAAACAAAAGUGGUCCAAAAUGAAGGGAUGAAAAUAAAUAAAACAGAUUUAUAUAAAUGCCAGUUAUUGUGCUGGGAAAUCUUAUGAAAUCUGGAAAUGCUGACAUACAAAAUUACGUACUCACCCAUCAAGACCUGACUUGGCAGUCCUCUCUGUGAGGCCUUCCUGAACCCCCAAAAAGGAAACCAGUACUUUCUGGAACCACUAUGUGCCAGUUCUUUUAGUAACUCUGCUAAAAGGUGGGUAUCACUUUCUGUAUUUGAAGAGAUAAAGAAACCAAAGCUCGGGUUGCUAAAGCCACUUGCCCCAGAGCACACCGUUAGUGUCUAGGGAGCAUUCCAGAUGGAAGGUGGGAAACCAGCAUUGUUACAAACCGCUAGGGCUAGGUAAAGUGCUUAAGUAUUAGAUACAUGCGUUCUCAUUUAAUUCGAUGGCCUCUGAGGCAGUUACUGUUACCUCCUAACCAGCCAUGAGCAAACUGGUCCAGUCUUGUCCAAAGUCACAAGGGUGACAAGUGGCAGUGCUCAGACUCAAAUGUGGGUUUUCAAACUCCAACACUGUGCGAUUCCAUGUCAUCACGAUGCCUCUUCUGAAAUGGUCCCUGUAAUGGUCCACUUCAUCCACUUCCACUGGUCAAAUGACAGUCCUCACCUAGAGGAUUGCUGGUAAAUGUAUGUCCCUCCUGCACUCUCACCCUCUAUUCCACAGGCUCAAGCACCUGCUGCAGCCACCUAUCACUGUCAGACUGAGCUUCAAAACCUCAGGCCUAGAUACCAAGAUCUUCUAUAAUCUAGGAUACCACGACCUCACUGAAUGUUAUUCUAUCCCACAAAAUUGGGAAAAACUGGAGUUCUCUUGUGGAAGAGCGAGUUAAAUCUCAGCAGUGGCUUGGGCCACUGCUGUGGCAUGGGUUUGAGCCCUGGUCCAGGAACUUCAAUGUGCUGUGGGUAUAGCCCCCCAAAAUUGGGAAAAACUUUGAAAAGAGCAAAAAAGAAAAAAAAGAAUAUUCUGAAUAUCUUUUCCAGAGUAUUAUUAGGUGCUGUUUAAUAACCAUUUCUGGAUCAUCUAAUUUUAUGGGUCUGUGCCUUUCAUUGUCUUUAGCUGAGCUCAUUUACAACCCUAUAAAUUGUAGAAAACUGAUAGUAAUGCAAAUAAUUUUUGUCAUUUGUGGAGACACAAUUUAUAAGCUUCCAUGCUCCCCCAGACGCCAGUUUUUCUAUCUGCAGCCAAUUCCUUUCAACGCUCCUGAUGGCCUUUGUGUAUGUUUGCUCUUUCUUUUGAACCAGUUGUGACAUCCUACUGGUUCCCUCAUUAAUUAAGGAGUUAAAUAAAAUCUUGGACACAUGUUCAUUUUAUAUUUGAAAGAGAGUCAUGACUGUGCCUUUCCUAAAAAGAUUAAUCUUAAACAUUUUUCCACUGGUACCUGAGAUACUCAGCCUGGAUUCCUCACUAAUCAUUAGGAGAUAGCAAACCUGGAUCAAAUCGGACUUACCGCCUGCUUUUGUAAAUAAAGUUUAAUGGAACACAGGCACAUCCAUUCAUUACCUUUGGCUGCUUUUGUAAUACAAAAGUUGCAAUAGAGACUGUUUAGUCCCCAAAGCCUGAAAUAUUGUCUGACCUUUAACAGAAAAAGUUUGCUGACUUCUCAAUUAGACACCAGAUUUACCCUCUAAUAAUAAUCAUGUGAAGGGAUGUAAUGAAUACACAUAGAUGAGAAUAUUAAAAAUGACAAUAAAAUAAAGUGAGUCCCUCCGGGGGGGGGCGGUAAGGGGAGAAAAGAAACUAAUAUGGGAGUGUUGAGUAUGGUUGAAAAUGGAACUAAUUAGCUUCAAUAAUUCCAAAGUAGAACAUCAAAACCAUGCCAUGCAAAUUGUUAAUUUGUUUAUUUAUUUACCUGUUAGAAUUUUUCUAUAUUGUUGCAAAAUACCCCAAGCACACAGAAAGGCAGUAUGAAAUGCUUAUGUGCUCAACUCAACUCACUUUACUAUGUUGUCAUACUGGCUUCAGAUUUUAUUUUCAAAGUCUUUUUUCUUUUUGUUUUUUUCUUUU